This 92-nucleotide transfer RNA is filed under the name Planctomycetaceae bacterium. Its description in RNAcentral is "tRNA-Ser". Lineage: Bacteria; Pseudomonadati; Planctomycetota; Planctomycetia; Planctomycetales; Planctomycetaceae. The record is from RNAcentral.
GGCGCUGGUUGCGGUCGGAGCCAUCGCGGUGGUACUGCUGGUGUCGUCGCUGGUUCGAUGGCAGGCCCUGGUGGUUCUGUCCUCCGGCGUCC